RNAcentral lists this ribosomal RNA (427 nucleotides) under Celleporaria magnifica. RNAcentral's name for it is "partial 16S ribosomal RNA". It matches the Rfam family "Bacterial large subunit ribosomal RNA", at positions 1817 to 2602 of the family's 2925-position model. Lineage: Eukaryota; Metazoa; Bryozoa; Gymnolaemata; Cheilostomatida; Lepraliellidae. The record is from RNAcentral.
AGCCUUUUGAACUCCUAUAAGGUUACGUCUGCCCGGUGAACAUUAAACGGCCGCGAAAGUGCUAAGGUAGCAUAAUAAUUUGUCUUUUCAUUGAAGACUAGAAUGAAUGGCAUAACGAAGCUUAGCUGUCUCAAAUUUAUAUAAUAAAUUAAUUCUAAAAUGAAAAAUCUUUAAUUAUAUAGCAGGACGAGAAGACCCUAUAGAGUUUUAGUAAAAUUUACUUUUAUUGGGGCAAUAUAAGAACAUAAAAAAUCUUACCUUUUAAACCUUAAAAAGAAACUAACAAACUACCUUAGGGAUAACAGCGUAAUCUCUUCUGAGAGCUCUCAUCGAAGAAGUGGAUUGCGACCUCGAUGUUGGACUAAGGGAUCUUUAAUAUGCAGAAGUAUUAAAAAGAUAGCCUGUUCGGCUUCUAACACCUUACAUG